UGCCAGCAGCCGCGGUAAGACGAAGGUGGCAACCGUUGUUCGGAAUUAUUGGGCGUAAAGAGCAUGUAGGCGGACUGUUAAGUCUGGCGUGAAAGCCCGGGGCUCAACCCCGGAAGUGCGUUGGAUACUGGCAGUCUUGAGUAUGGGAGAGGAAAGUGGAAUUCCGAGUGUAGGAGUGAAAUCCGUAGAUAUUCGGAGGAACACCAGUGGCGAAGGCGGCUUUCUGGACCAAUACUGACGCUGAGAUGCGAAAGCGUGGGGAGCAAACAGGAUUAGAUA
RNAcentral lists this ribosomal RNA (279 nucleotides) under uncultured bacterium. RNAcentral describes it as "partial 16S ribosomal RNA". It matches the Rfam family "Bacterial small subunit ribosomal RNA", at positions 506 to 784 of the family's 1533-position model. The record is from RNAcentral.